UUUACCUUCAGCAGUCCAGAAUAUUAGUCAAUGCUCGAAAGAGUGAACUAGCUAACUGAAAUCAAUUAUAAUAAUUGAUAACAUAAGGGAAAAUAAUGAUAUUACCUUAUUAUUAGUGUCGUCCAAAUCUGGUGCCAGAAGACUCGGUAAGGCCAGAGACACAAACGUUAAUCGUCUUAAUCAGGCGUAAAGGGUUUGUAGGCAGUUUUAAAAAUUUAAUUUAAUUUAAUUUUAUAAUUAAAGAAUAAAAACUAGAAUCAAAAAGAGGAUAUAUUAAAGAAUGCUUAGAGUAGGUCUGAUAUCUUUAGAUACUAAGUAGAAUAUUAAAGGCGAAAGCUUUUUUCCAUUAAUGAUUGACGCUCAGAAACGAAGGUGAGGAUAGGAAAUAGGAUUAGAUACCCAAAAUACCCCUCUCUGUCAACGAUGAAUGGUAAUUAUUAGUAAAAAUUCUUAUUAAUAAUAAUGUUAACACAAUAACCAUUCCGCCUUGUGAGUACAACUGCAAAGUUGAAAACAAAAAAAUUAGUCGGUUUCGGAGCAAACGAAGUGAAGCAUGUUAUUUAAUUCGAUAAUCCGCAAGAAGAUAC
RNAcentral lists this ribosomal RNA (587 nucleotides) under Russula sp. Its description in RNAcentral is "partial small subunit ribosomal RNA". It matches the Rfam family "Bacterial small subunit ribosomal RNA", at positions 341 to 974 of the family's 1533-position model. The record is from RNAcentral. Lineage: Eukaryota; Fungi; Basidiomycota; Agaricomycetes; Russulales; Russulaceae.